RNAcentral lists this ribosomal RNA (373 nucleotides) under uncultured organism. RNAcentral's name for it is "partial 16S ribosomal RNA". It matches the Rfam family "Bacterial small subunit ribosomal RNA", at positions 527 to 897 of the family's 1533-position model. The record is from RNAcentral.
GUAGGUGGCAAGCGUUGUCCGGAAUUAUUGGGCGUAAAGCGCGCGCAGGCGGUUCUUUAAGUCUGAUGUGAAAGCCCACGGCUCAACCGUGGAGGGUCAUUGGAAACUGGAGAACUUGAGUACAGAAGAGGAAAGCGGAAUUCCACGUGUAGCGGUGAAAUGCGUAGAGAUGUGGAGGAACACCAGUGGCGAAGGCGGCUUUCUGGUCUGUAACUGACGCUGAGGCGCGAAAGCGUGGGGAGCAAACAGGGAUUAGAUACCCUGGUAGUCCACGCCGUAAACGAUGAGUGCUAAGUGUUAGGGGGUUUCCCGCCCCUUAGUGCUGCAGCUAACGCAUUAAGCACUCCGCCUGGGGAGUACGCCGCAAGGCUGA